Molecule: ribosomal RNA, 402 nt
Filed under: uncultured Pseudomonas sp.
Lineage: Bacteria; Pseudomonadati; Pseudomonadota; Gammaproteobacteria; Pseudomonadales; Pseudomonadaceae
Description: bacterial SSU rRNA
Rfam family: Bacterial small subunit ribosomal RNA
Source: RNAcentral
UUGACAUGCAGAGAACUUUCCAGAGAUGGAUUGGUGCCUUCGGGAACUCUGACACAGGAGCUGCAUGGCUGUCGUCAGCUCGUGUCGUGAAAUGUUGGGUUAAGUCCCGUAACGAGCGCAACCCUUGUCCUUAGUUACCAGCACGUUAUGGUGGGCACUCUAAGGAGACUGCCGGUGACAAACCGGAGGAAGGUGGGGAUGACGUCAAGUCAUCAUGGCCCUUACGGCCUGGGCUACACACGUGCUACAAUGGUCGGUACAAAGGGUUGCCAAGCCGCGAGGUGGAGCUAAUCCCAUAAAACCGAUCGUAGUCCGGAUCGCAGUCUGCAACUCGACUGCGUGAAGUCGGAAUCGCUAGUAAUCGUGAAUCAGAAUGUCACGGUGAAUACGUUCCCGGGCCUU